Oreochromis aureus is the source of this 558-nucleotide long non-coding RNA. NCBI's taxonomy places the organism in Eukaryota, Metazoa, Chordata, Actinopteri, Cichliformes, Cichlidae. The record is from Ensembl.
CUGUCAACAACCGAGGAAGACGGAUAAAGGAAAGCUGAUGGAACAGAAGGUCCAGAGGUUUAGUACGAAGGAAGUGAAGACGGAUAUCAAAAGGACGAAGAGUGAAAAGGCAGUUGGUCCAGAUGACACACCUGGGAUAUUUCCUGCAUCAUUUGGAUAAUGACUUUUUGAUGAUGUGAGUCGGUGGUUCCACCUCUGGGAGGAGCCACCGUAUUCCUGCAUGCUGUCCACACCAAGCCUCUCAGCAGCUGCUCAGCCACAGCUCUUGUUCACUCUACUCACCUGCCUGCUUCCCUGCCUCAACAUUUGGAUACCUUGGAUCACCACUGCUUGGAUUCACCUCCGCUCACCCUGACCACCUACCCCUCCACCCCAUUAUUCCACCUGCAGCAAUGACCCUGAAUCUACCCGUCCUGUCUGUCUACCCCUUUGCCCCCACGUCACUAAGUUUUCUAGUUUCACUGCUUCAUAGUAUUUAGUUGUGCUUCACGUUACUUCAUAGUUCUUGGUUAUAUUCUAGUUCACAGUACAUCAUUGACUUUUCAAGUGUUUCCCCGC